Molecule: unclassified non-coding RNA, 685 nt
Organism: Drosophila navojoa
Lineage: Eukaryota; Metazoa; Arthropoda; Insecta; Diptera; Drosophilidae
Source: RefSeq, a predicted model, not a curated record
GUUCGCUAUUGGUCACACUUUCGCCGUGUCUCGCGUUUUCUGUGUCUUAGUAUCAUAAAGUCAACCAAAAUAGCUGAUUAUCUGUAUAGUUAGCAUCAAAUUAUAGUCAAGACUUCCAAUUAUAAUUAAAUAAAUAAUUCAUAAAAAAUAUGGCGCUAAAUCCACAGUACGAAGAUAUUGGUAAAGGCUUCGUUCAGCAAUAUUAUGCCAUAUUUGACGACCCGGCGAACCGCGCUAAUGUGGUAAACUUUUACAGCGCAACGGAGUCCUUUAUGACUUUCGAAGGACACCAAAUCCAAGGAGCUCCAAAAAUACUUGAAAAAGUCCAGAGCCUCACUUUCCAAAAGAUCACACGAGUAAUUACAACGGUAGACUCGCAGCCCACAUUUGAUGGUGGCGUUUUGAUAAAUGUCCUAGGACGACUACAGACCGAUGAGGAUCAGCCGCAUGCGUAUAUUCAGACCUUUGUACUGAAACCUGUGGGCGUUAGCUUCUUUGUGCAGCACGACAUCUUUAGGCUUGCGCUGCACAAUGUGUAGCCAAUCGCAAUCAGCUCGACCGAAUGCAACAGCUACGGCAAACAACAACAGCAACAACAACAAUCAAAAUCACACUCUGAGAGCGAUCCUGGCCAGGCAAAUGCGACGACGAUCCUCCACACGCUUUCUCUCAGGUGUUUGUGUUG